Molecule: long non-coding RNA, 2911 nt
Organism: Oxyura jamaicensis (ruddy duck)
Lineage: Eukaryota; Metazoa; Chordata; Aves; Anseriformes; Anatidae
Exons: 2
Source: RefSeq, a predicted model, not a curated record
AUAAAGGUAGGAUCCUGCGAAUGUGAUAAGUCAGCCACACAAAACCAUGUAGGCUUAUUACCUGAAAGAGCAAUCAGUUCCUUAUCCUUAGCUGUCAUGUCAGGAACAAGCCUUCAUUGCACCCACUGCCACUCCAACCCCCUAAACUCAAGCCUCAAUAUUUUCUGAGGAAAAGACCAAGAUAAACUGAUCCACUGUCAACAUCCCAAACUGGUGUUUGCCUGAAAAUGCAGGAGAGAGCUGACUCAUUUGUUUGAUCAUUUUCUUCAAAGCUCAUUGAUGACAAUUUAAACAAAUAUAUUUGACUUGUUUGUAAUUUUUUUGCUCUACGAUGUUGGGCAGUUUAAGCUGACUAACAGUGUUUCUGUCCCAGUUCCACUCUAAUCUCAUCUAACCCCAAGCCAGCUUUCUUCCCCCCCCAUUUUCAGGCAAGAAGCUGGCUCCUUGUCAGCCUUUGAGGGACCUAGGGCUUGGAGAAGCCCGGCCAGCUGAGAACUGCAUGCUCCUCACAGACUUCGUCACAGGUGCUACCAUGACUCAUAAAAAGGUCCGUGAUGCACUGCCCCUCUGCUUGGAUGGAUGUCUUGGCUGUGUCCUCUGAAACCUCCCUAUGUAUGGGAGUUGGAACAGAUCCUGUGCUCGAUUCAGGAGAGGCAGCCUGAACGGUAAUGCUUCCUCCUUCCUGUCCGUAAGGCUGAGGUCGUGCCUCAGGUGAAAGCAACUACUCCUGACUGAACCUAGGAGAAGGGCUUUUUGUUAUUUCCUACUAGUAACUGGCACGGCUUUUAUACAGUUCAGUGAUGAAAGCUUUAAAAUGUGGCUACGGGAUUUUUACCUUGAACUAGACAAAGCAAGAGCCCCUCACCUCAAAUAUGGGAAUGAGGAUGGGUGCUCUGGGGAGGAAGCGGCAAGCAGAUGGCUGAGGGAAGCUGCUGAUAAAUGCCUUCCUGCUAUGUCCUUUUAAUUCAUUUUUAGAGCUAUCACUGAAGCAGAGUUAAAACUUCUUUACCUUUUAGUAAUAAGGGUAUGUAUGGGCUGUGACUGUAGUCCUUUGCAGGUCUGAGAGCACGGUAGGCAGAAACUUUCUGAAUCCAUGAAAAAUAAGACUUGAAUGAGGUGUUUUGGAAUGGACUGGUGAGAAAUAGGGAUAUGCAAGGGUGAUUUAUGUAAACCACAAAAGGAAGAAAUUAUUCACAGAACAGGGAAAGGCCUAAGGAGCUACUGAUGUGAAAUCUCUCUCCUGUGGAUUAUGGGAAAGUAAUCCAUUUUGGGGUCUUUGUUUUUGUUUCUUAUGUAAUAUCUCAUCUCCAGAAGGACUUAGAGCAAAUUUCCCUAGAGUGACUAAGCCAGUAUCAGAAAUCUGGGCAACAAAAUUGGACUGGGAAGACUGCUUUUCCCCUCUGUCCUCAAUUAGACAGAUAAAAGUGGUUUACUUUAAUACAGGUGAUUCAAGGUCAUCACCUCACCUUGGAAUGAAUUCAGUGUACAAAUUUUCUUUUUUUUCCAACUCCUAUAAGCAAAUAAAAUACAAUGAAGUAAAAGGUUUUGCCUUUUUUCUUUUUAAUAGAAAAGAUGAAAUAGAAUUGUGGGGUGAGUUCCUAUUCCACUAUCCUCAAAGAAAAGGAAGCAGCAUGAGCAUGAGUCUCCUGCCUGGAAGAAUGAAUCAGCCAUCUGGCAGCUUGAGGGUAUUCUUUUCUAGUGAUGAACCUUUAACCAUUGAUUGAGGUGUGGAAUUGGUUUGUUAUUUCUUCUCUCCGAGCACUGUUUCUUAAAUAUGUGAUUCUGAUCAAGACUGACUCUAAUCUCUGACUCUUUGGAUCAAACAUCGUAAAAAAUCCCUGUAGUAAAAGCCAUUUUAAAAUAAUCUCUGAAUUGGGCUCACUAUCAGUAACAGUGGACUUUGAAGUCUUAAGAGUAGCUAUUGUAAGACAGUUGAUGUAGUCCUGUAAAGUACUUUCUUCUACCCUUUUUUCUCACAGUGUCUUUUCUAUCAGGUACAGAUCCUUUCCAGGAACUUGAGAGUUUUAAAAUGUCUCUAUUUCCUUAUUGUCUUAUUUCCUUCCCUGUUGUAGCUACUGGAAGGUUCAGUCUCAGAAGCAUGAUCAGUUCUGGGAGAAAAUGCAGAAGUUAGGCUCUUCAUAGAGCCAUUUUUAUCUUCCACAAGACAACAAAUGUAGCAGUUAAGAACUUACUCAACUUUUCUGUCUCCUGUAUUCCUAUCCACAGGUUGAGAGAUUGUUAUGGUUGCAUCUUAAAUGUAUGCUAUAAAUAACCAUCAGAAACCAAUUUAUGUAUCUUUUGAGUGUUGUUCUGCAUUAUGAAUCCUUCAAGGGCACUGCUGGGUUAAGAAACCCUGUCUUCUGUUCCCUGGAACAGAGCAGGCACAUUGCAGACCUCUAGGAGUUCCCCGCACCUUCUGUUGUGCUGUCUGAAUUGUUUAUGUAGUUGUACUCUAAAUAGCAUCUGAGAAGGGGUAUGUUGGGGAAAAAAAAAUCAUAGGAAAGAAAUGGCCCUUCCUUUUCUCUGAUGAUGCAAGUUUUGAAGUUUUGCUUAGACAGCAUCUACAGAUGAGUGGAACAACUGGGAGGGAGGAAGUGAACCAGAGUGCAAAAUGCUCUUAAACAGCCUCUGUGCCCAAUGAUUCAUGAUAGCUGCUGCACCUGGAGUCUAGUCUCUAGAGGGCUUCCAUGAUUUGUUGUCACAAGCUUAGAAAACAAACUGUCAUGUCAGUCAAGACUUAAGUUUUAUAAAUCUGGGCUUUUACGGUCUGAACCAGCUUUGGAAACAGGCUGAGCUAUCUGCCACAGCAUUGUCAAUGCUUGUACACCCAUUCCUCCAAAACCACACCCUAAAAACUGUGUCAUGUUUUCUUUGUUAAACACAUUUUUCUUGUUAAACACAUUUACCAAAA